GUCUUUUUGCCAUUUCUAGGGCCACUCCUGCAGCAUAUGGAGGUUCCUAAGCUAGGGGUCUAAUCGGAGCUGUAGCUGCCAGCCUACGCCAGAGCCACAGCAAUGUGGGAUCCGAGCCACGUCUGCGACCUACACCACAGCUCACAGCAAUGCUGGAUCCUUAACCCACUGAGCAAGGCCAGGGAUCAAAAUGGACAGCUCAUGGAUACUAGUCGGAUUCAUUAACCACUGAGUCAUGAUGGGAACUCCCUGAACAAAUUCUAUAAAAUCUGUACUCUUUGUCACAUGUGGCUACUGAAGUGUCUGCUUGCUUUGCUUAGCAGUCAGCUAAUAGCUGGACAAUUUGGACAGAGAUUUCCUUGAAUAAGUCAAGGAAACAAUAAGUCUCUCAGACUUUGCUGAAGGGGCAUCAGGGCUCCCUUCAACUCUGCCUUGGCCUUCAAUUCUUCCUUGUACAGAGUUCAAGGUCAGCCCGAGGUUAGGGGUUAGGGCCUUCUCAGACUUUUCCUGGGUGUGUGCCCACCCUUGUGCAUACACGUGGCUUUCUAGAUUCCCAGCAGUGAGCUGACACUUCCUGCUCUGAUGCCUGUCAAGUUGCUGUUUUUCAUGGCUAUUGCGACCGGCAUGCACUGAUUUUCAGGCCACUACGCUGUUGGGAGGAGGGAUGGAGUAGGCAAGUUAAGAUACUGUAAAGCUCCCGGUUCCAAGGACUCAGCCAUUUGAUUGAACUAACUAUUUUCAAAUUGUUGGAGGCCUUAGAUGAAUUUCCAGAGUUCUAAAAAAAAGGUGGGUUUUGACACGUUCUGCAAGCAUUCUUGCUUUUGUGGAGCAGCAGGGUUUGGGAGGUCCUAACUCCACCAUCCCGGGAAAUGCUUUUCUUCAGUCUUUAAAAAUUUCUCUCUCAGUUGAAGUAAAACCUGACAACCUUCCUUGCAAUAUCUGUGAGCUGCCGGGUGGGUUUUGUUCGCAUCUGUUCCCUUCAGUGAGGGUGUGUGGGGACCACGGCUUUAUGCAGAAGCGUCGGUCCAAACACGUGCCCCUUAGGUGCCUACAGGCUUCCCCCCUCCUGGGAGCCCAUUUCGAGGCCUUUUACACCAAGACCAGCAUCUGGGAGCCAGCCCUGGGGCCGCCCCAGCGUUAGCUCACUUUGGUGACCAUCUGGGGUUGUGUUGCUCAUCUGGGGCCCCUGAAAAUUUCCACUACUCCUCUGCAAGCUCAGCUCUCCAUCUAAAAGGUGUGCAUCUUACGUGCCUGGCAUUUCUAAGCUGUAUUUUUUUUUUUUUAAGCAGGAGUGUUCUCAGGUUAUCAUGACCGGACUCUUCCCGGGAAAAAGGGACACCCUCUAGGUAAACACUCACAUAAACACACACGUCUAGCUAACGGAACGCAACAGGGAGAAGCAAGGACCGCCCAGAAGCCGUGGUGAAGACGGACAGCAUGAGGGUCUUGCAAGCAGAGGAGCGAGUCUGACCUGGGCCCACGGGUCUCCAGGACCGCUUCGUCCACCUCUGGCCCCCACUGGAGGCUUAAUGUGGGGGAGGGAGUGUUGAGGGUGCAGCUACAGCCAGGACUAAGGGACCCUCUGUAGGCCCAGACUCUCUGUCCACCCACGCAGGGACCUAGUCUUCCUGCAGCAGCAGCCAGGAGCCUCCGGGACAUCCUAAGGCCCCAGGAACCUCCUCCUGGCAGCACUCAGAACUAGUGGCAGGUGCAUAGACCAAAGUUCUGUGGGAAGAAUGUCUGCUCACUACAGCAGGUGCCAGGAGAUGUUCAAGGAAGAGUUAGAGACUGAAUGUUUGUCCCCCGGCCCCAAAACAAAGCAGCAUAUGGUGGGAUCCGAAACCCCCUGGGAUGGCAUCGGAAUGCGAGGUCUCUGGGAGGUCAUGAGGUCAUGAGGGUUGAAGGUGCAGCUCGGAUCCAGUGUUGCCGUGGCUGUGGUGUAGGACUGCAGCGGUAGCUCCGAUUCAACCCCUAGCCCGGGAACUUCCUAUGCCACGGGCGCAGCCAUAAACAUUUUUAAAAAGGGGACUCCAGAGAGCUCUCCCACCUCCUCCUCCACGUGAGGGCGCAGGGAGAAGGCGGUCUGUGACCCAGGCGGUGUGUCCUCACCCGACACCGAAUCUGCGGACACCUUGACCUCGGCCUCAGACUGUGCAGAUUGCUGGCCGGGAGGCUCCCUGGACGGUACAUGAAGUCAAGGGCAACUGGAAGCAAUGCUCUGGAGAAGGAGGCUGCCCGGAUCUGGAUGGUGUGGCACGUGGGAGGACCGGAGGAUCCAUGGUCAGAGGCGACGUGGUCCACGACUCCUUAGUGGGAUUUGAUCGCAAGGAGCAGGUGCAAAGACGUGUGUACUGGGAUGCCCACCGCAGCGCUGGCCGUCACUGCAGGAAGUUACCCACUCUCUGGAGGCCAAGUGGAUCACUUCAGGUAAGCCCACACUCAGAAAACCCCGCAUUUGCCCGUCAUUCUGCGGAGAUGUUCGUGGGCUCCUGCGAGGUGACAGUGAAUCGGGAGGGUGUUCACGUGGGGUCCUGCCGCCUGGCUCCCUUCCAGCUCAGCCACAGGUCAGGGGGCCCGAUCCAGGGCAUUAGAGCCACCUGACAAAGCUGCAGACCUUGGGCUGUUUCAGAGGGGCCCCUGGGCUUUCUGGGGACAUCAAGCUUUCCCUGUGCCCCGUCUCCAGCAGCCACUCUGCCGCAAUCUUGGGGGAGGACCCUGGCUGUGGCUGCAUGCACAGGGCGGGGGCUGAAGGCGAGGGGACCUGAGCCCUGGAGUUCGGCCCACAGCUCAGUCUCCUGGCUGCCCCCACCCAGUGACCCCAAGCCCGCCACCUGCAACCGCAUCCCCUGGCGGUGGGUGUGCUGCUCCCCACCCCAUCCCCAACACAGACCUCUGUAAUCGACCAGGUCGAGGCUGAGGGGGAAAUGCCGCAAGUCAGAGAGCCAGUGUGUGGGGUGAGCAGACAACUGGGGGGUGACAUGGCUCCUGUCCCAGGGCCCCCGCUCCAUGCUGCUCCUUCCCCGCGCCAUGCUGGAAACUGCUGCCUUGUCCCUGGGGUCUCAGCUCACUGGUGACACCCUGACCACGGGAUUUAACCCGUCCUUCAGCCCAGUCUGUCCAUUUCUUCACAGCACACUCCUGCUCUGACACCCUCUGGACGGGUAGUUGUCAUCCCCCUCCCCCGCCCAGUGUCCCCAGCUCACUCAGCCCCACUGGAGACCAGGCCCUCGGGAGAGUUGGGGGAUGGUGGAGGGUGUGGGGGACCCCGGCCUCGCCCCCACUGUCUUUUCAACAACAUCCCUGAGGCCUCGGCCACCGGAGGACGCAGGCAGGGAAGGAGGUUGGUCCUGCGCUGUGGGCCAGAUGGGGAGCAGUGCUGUCCCCGCGUGCAGACCCGGUCCUGGGCACCCGGCCUCCGCCUCGCUCCCGGGCCUCUCGGUCGGCGUGGCCAGCUAACCGAGCUUGCUGAUAGCUUGGGAACGUGGUGAUAAGGGCUGAGCAUGGGGAAUGGUUACCUCCUGGCUCUUGUGAGAAUCACCAGGGUGGCUGUUUCAAGUGUCUGCCCCCAAUUUUCCAGCGGUCCCUCCCUUGGGAGUCUGGGCAGACAGGCAGGGGCGCGGCGGCGAAGGGGGCCGCUUUCCAUUUUUAGGUUGAAUUCCUUUCUGGAAAGCUGCAGGCAUGUCUCUGGCAUGAGUGCCCCGGGGCUGGGGGUGUGCAGCACUCUCCCUGGCCGGGCCCCCUGUGGCUCACGUUCCUCCUUGUCUGCCUCCUUCAGCCGGGAACGGGUGAGUGCCUGGACCCCAGGGUGCCCUGCGUUUGAGGCUCCCAUGAGGGAAACACCAGCCACGAACAUCCCACACCACGGAGCUCAGGACCGCCAGCAAGUGCCUGAGGUGGGCACAUGCAGGUGGGAUGGCUGGGUUCGCAAACGCAAAAUCAGGAUGCCCAGUGAGAUCUGAAUUUCAGAGAAACGGGGAGUGCUUCGUGCCAGCGAGCCCCCCGGCGUGCGCAGUCCCGCCUCGCCAGCGGAGGCUGAUGUCAGAGAAGCUGCCCCUGGGCACGCUGGGUAAGUGGCCACACGGGUGAACGCUGGGGGGCAAGCUCAGGGGAUGCCCCCAAAGGCGUGGCUCUAGAUGCACUGUCCAGAGACUGCCACGGGCGCCAGCCUGAACCCGCAAGUCCAGCCACGCAGCCACCAGCCGCAUGUGGCUACUGCCCACUGGCCUGGGGCACUGAGCCUUUCAUUCUACUGUGUGUCAGGGGACAUGGUCACAGGAGGCUGUGGCCAAGUCACUGGGCAGCACAGGUGUAGGGGUGGUCCCGGAGGCCCCUCUGAGCUUUUGUGCAGACAUCUGGAAAUCUGGAGGAAAUUAUCUCCCAACUGGGGAGAUGAAGCCCCCCCCAACCCUGAGGAACUGGGGGAAGGCCAGUGAGGGGACCAGGGGGCAGGGGAGGGAGACAGGAGGGGACAGCAGGCAGGUCCAGCCCCCCUCAGGCCACUGGACACAGUCUGGACGUGCAUUCUAUUCCUAGUAAUGGGUCAAGCGGUAACUCCACAAGCUGUUCUGGGCAUUUUCACCGUCCUUCCGGCUGUGGCUUCGCCCUGCCUGUCUGGUGCAGCGGGUUUGAUUGAUUGCUUGCUGUGCCCACCGACCCAGCUGCCGUGUCCUGAUCCCCGAGAUGGUCGUCAGCCUGAAAGUCCCAGAGAAGGGGACUUGGGGAGGAGGUUUCUUGGCACCAGGCCAGGAAACCCCAGGGGUGGGAGGCGCCAGGCUCUCUGCUCAGACCCCCCACCCACCCCCCGCCCCCCGCCAGACUGCAGACCCUCCAUUCUGCUCUGCGCUGGGCAGCUCCUCCCAGGUACCCUGGAAGGUCUCCCUCUUGACAGGGUGACAGCGGUUAAAUCUCGUCCCCAGCCUGACACCCUGUAUCUGUUGCCAGUUACAGGAUCUGACACUGCUGGGGGACAGUGAGUCGAUGCAAUGAGUCUGAGAGACAGCCUCCCUCCUAGCCCAGGAUGCUGCAAGGCCUCUGCCACCCGAGCCGGGGGUGGACUCUGAAACGAGACGUGGCCUCUUUGAAAAGGAAGUUCUUUAAAUUCUCU
Molecule: long non-coding RNA, 5104 nt
Filed under: Sus scrofa (pig)
Lineage: Eukaryota; Metazoa; Chordata; Mammalia; Artiodactyla; Suidae
Description: lncRNA (ENSSSCG00055003068.1)
Source: RNAcentral